RNAcentral lists this ribosomal RNA (1243 nucleotides) under Sesame phyllody phytoplasma. Its description in RNAcentral is "bacterial SSU rRNA". It matches the Rfam family "Bacterial small subunit ribosomal RNA", at positions 129 to 1375 of the family's 1533-position model. Lineage: Bacteria; Bacillati; Mycoplasmatota; Mollicutes; Acholeplasmatales; Acholeplasmataceae. The record is from RNAcentral.
CCCUAAGACGAGGAUAACAGUUGGAAACGACUGCUAAGACUGGAUAGGAGACAAGAAGGCAUCUUCUUGUUUUUAAAAGACCUAGCAGCAGGGAUGCUAGGAGGAGCUUGCGUCACAUUAGUUAGUUGGUGGGGUAAAGGCCUACCAAGACUAUGAUGUGUAGCCGGGCUGAGAGGUUGAACGGCCACAUUGGGACUGAGACACGGCCCAAACUCCUACGGGAGGCAGCAGUAGGGAAUUUUCGGCAAUGGAGGAAACUCUGACCGAGCAACGCCGCGUGAACGAUGAAGUAUUUCGGUACGUAAAGUUCUUUUAUUAGGGAAGAAUAAAUGAUGGAAAAAUCAUUCUGACGGUACCUAAUGAAUAAGCCCCGGCUAACUAUGUGCCAGCAGCCGCGGUAAUACAUAGGGGGCAAGCGUUAUCCGGAAUUAUUGGGCGUAAAGGGUGCGUAGGCGGUUAAAUAAGUUUAUGGUCUAAGUGCAAUGCUCAACAUUGUGAUGCUAUAAAAACUGUUUAGCUAGAGUAAGAUAGAGGCAAGUGGAAUUCCAUGUGUAGUGGUAAAAUGCGUAAAUAUAUGGAGGAACACCAGUAGCGAAGGCGGCUUGCUGGGUCUUUACUGACGCUGAGGCACGAAAGCGUGGGGAGCAAACAGGAUUAGAUACCCUGGUAGUCCACGCCGUAAACGAUGAGUACUAAACGUUGGGUAAAACCAGUGUUGAAGUUAACACAUUAAGUACUCCGCCUGAGUAGUACGUACGCAAGUAUGAAACUUAAAGGAAUUGACGGGACUCCGCACAAGCGGUGGAUCAUGUUGUUUAAUUCGAAGGUACCCGAAAAACCUCACCAGGUCUUGACAUGCUUCUGCAAAGCUGUAGAAACACAGUGGAGGUUAUCAGUUGCACAGGUGGUGCAUGGUUGUCGUCAGCUCGUGUCGUGAGAUGUUGGGUUAAGUCCCGCAACGAGCGCAACCCUUAUUGUUAGUUACCAGCACGUAAUGGUGGGGACUUUAGCAAGACUGCCAGUGAUAAAUUGGAGGAAGGUGGGGACGACGUCAAAUCAUCAUGCCCCUUAUGACCUGGGCUACAAACGUGAUACAAUGGCUGUUACAAAGGGUAGCUGAAGCGCAAGUUUUUGGCGAAUCUCAAAAAAACAGUCUCAGUUCGGAUUGAAGUCUGCAACUCGACUUCAUGAAGUUGGAAUCGCUAGUAAUCGCGAAUCAGCAUGUCGCGGUGAAUACGUUCUC